AUUGAACGCUGGCGGCAUGCCUUACACAUGCAAGUCGAACGGCAGCGGGCCUUCGGGUGCCGGCGAGUGGCGAACGGGUGAGUAAUGCAUCGGAACGUGCCAUUGAGUGGGGGAUAACGUAGCGAAAGUUACGCUAAUACCGCAUAUUCUGUGAGCAGGAAAGCAGGGGACCGCAAGGCCUUGCGCUCUUUGAGCGGCCGAUGUCAGAUUAGCUAGUUGGUGAGGUAAAGGCUUACCAAGGCGACGAUCUGUAGCGGGUCUGAGAGGAUGAUCCGCCACACUGGAACUGAGACACGGUCCAGACUCCUACGGGAGGCAGCAGUGGGGAAUUUUGGACAAUGGGCGCAAGCCUGAUCCAGCCAUGCCGCGUGAGUGAAGAAGGCCUCGGUUGUAAGACUCUUUCGGUCCGGGAACGGAAAUAC
RNAcentral lists this ribosomal RNA (422 nucleotides) under uncultured bacterium. RNAcentral describes it as "bacterial SSU rRNA". It matches the Rfam family "Bacterial small subunit ribosomal RNA", at positions 30 to 455 of the family's 1533-position model. The record is from RNAcentral.